AAGUCGUAACAAGGUUUCCGUAGGUGAACCUGCGGAAGGAUCAUCAUUGAAUCUAUCCUUACAAACCCUGUGAACUGUAUGUUAAGAGCAGUUGGCUAGGAAGGCCUGGCGGCUAGUCGGGUCGUGUCUCCCUUUUGUCCCUCGGGGCAUAGGGAGUGCCUGCCAUCUACUCUCAUUCAAACAAACUCUUUAAACAUUUAAACUAAAAAACAUUUAAACUAAAACAACUUUCAACAAUGGAUCUCUUGGCUCUC
This 254-nucleotide unclassified non-coding RNA is filed under the name Mortierellales sp. RNAcentral's name for it is "partial contains small subunit ribosomal RNA, internal transcribed spacer 1, and 5.8S ribosomal RNA". The stretch from base 1 to 46 matches the Rfam family "Eukaryotic small subunit ribosomal RNA", at positions 1786 to 1831 of the family's 1831-position model. Lineage: Eukaryota; Fungi; Mortierellomycota. The record is from RNAcentral.